AAAAGCUUUCUUUAAUUGAAUAAUUGAAUUUAAUUUUUUAGUGCAAAAGCAAAAAUAAAAAUUAGGGACAAGAAGACCCUAUGAAUUUUUUAUUAAAUUUUAUAAAACUUUAUAUAAAGUUUAAUUUAAUUGGGGUGAUGGAAAAAGAAUAAAUAUCUUUUUUUUUAAAGAAAAUUGGUUCCGUUUUUAGCGAUUAAAUGAAAAAAAUACUCUAGGGAUAACAGCGUAAUAAUUUUGGAUAGUUCAUAUAGAUAAAAUAGUUUGCGACCUCGAUGUUGGAUUAGGAUUCUUUUUUGGUGAAGAAGUUAAAAAAAGAAGUUUGUUCAACUUAUAAUUUCCUACUUGAUCUGAGUUCAGACCGG
Molecule: ribosomal RNA, 362 nt
Filed under: Ixodes ricinus (castor bean tick)
Lineage: Eukaryota; Metazoa; Arthropoda; Arachnida; Ixodida; Ixodidae
Description: partial 16S ribosomal RNA
Rfam family: Bacterial large subunit ribosomal RNA (bases 66-362)
Source: RNAcentral